This 496-nucleotide ribosomal RNA is filed under the name uncultured bacterium. RNAcentral describes it as "partial 16S ribosomal RNA". It matches the Rfam family "Bacterial small subunit ribosomal RNA", at positions 28 to 507 of the family's 1533-position model. The record is from RNAcentral.
GAUGAACGCUGGCGGCGUGCCUAAUACAUGCAAGUAGAACGCUGAAGCUUGGUGCUUGCACCGAGCGGAUGAGUUGCGAACGGGUGAGUAACGCGUAGGUAACCUGCCUGGUAGCGGGGGAUAACUAUUGGAAACGAUAGCUAAUACCGCAUAACAGUAGAUAUUGCAUGAUAUCUGCUUGAAAGGUGCUAAUGCAUCACUACCAGAUGGACCUGCGUUGUAUUAGCUAGUUGGUGAGGUAACGGCUCACCAAGGCGACGAUACAUAGCCGACCUGAGAGGGGGAACGGCCACCCUGGAAGUGAGACACGGCCCAGACUCCUAGGGGGGGCAGCAGUAGGGAAUCUUCGGGAAGGGGGGAAACCCGAACCGAGCAACGCCGCGUGAGUGAAGAAGGUUUUCGGAUCGGAAAGCUAUGUUGUAAGAGAAGAACGAAUGUGGGAGUAAAAAGUCCCAUCUUGACGGGACCUUUACAAAAAGGGACGGCCAACUACGGG